This 135-nucleotide ribosomal RNA is filed under the name Rhizobiaceae bacterium SR-I. RNAcentral's name for it is "partial 16S ribosomal RNA". It matches the Rfam family "Bacterial small subunit ribosomal RNA", at positions 355 to 507 of the family's 1533-position model. Lineage: Bacteria; Pseudomonadati; Pseudomonadota; Alphaproteobacteria; Hyphomicrobiales; Rhizobiaceae. RNAcentral also lists the same sequence under 1 other name. The record is from RNAcentral.
UGGGGAAUAUUGGACAAUGGGCGCAAGCCUGAUCCAGCCAUGCCGCGUGAGUGAUGAAGGCCUUAGGGUUGUAAAGCUCUUUCACCGGUGAAGAUAAUGACGGUAACCGGAGAAGAAGCCCCGGCUAACUUCGUG